GCGCCCCACGAUUUAUUCGACUCCGGCGAUUUGUCAACUUCUGCUUUAGCGGCGCCGCAACGGAGCACUCUGUCGGGCCCCUUGGCGGGAUCGGCGUCCGGAUCAUCUCGCGCCUCCGCAAGGGGGAUGGGACUGCUCGGGCUCAUCUGCAAGAGCCCCUCGCCGCCAUGCCGCCUGCUGCCGCUGACACCGUCAACGGGAGCGGACGAGCAGGAGAGAUCCUGUCGAUCUGAUGGCGAAAGGGCGAGAUAACCGGCUCCUGUAUGUUUUGGAAGGUUACACCAAGUCUCUCCUUUGUUUGAUUUUGGUUCCAGCUUUGAUCGGGAGCACCAACCGCGAGCUGGGAGAAAGCCCAAAGAACUCGAGGAAGAAGUGAAGCUCCUCAUUUUCUGUGAAGAAGUACCUUGAGACUGUCCGUGAGGAAGACACGCUGAAUAUCUUGCUUGAUUUUGUUCCCCGCCCACUGCACGCCGCUGUCGAGAACACCUCUGCUACCUCCUCCCAAUCUCCGCCACAAGAUUCUCCGUCCAGAUCCUGGGCGAGGAAUAAAAAAAUUAGUUCUUGAAGCUUCUCCAUCAUGCCGGACGGACAACUGUAUCCGGCACCGUCGCCAUCGCUUAUGGAGUUCCACACCAUUGCCCAGUUGUACGAGAGCAUGUUCAAUCUUCUCCAUUCAAGACUAUGCAAGUGGUGAACUCUGCCAAACAAGAAGAUAUGAGGAUAUGGCAUAUAUGCCCCAUAAGGUAGCUAUAUGGUAAUUCAUGUAUUGUAGUUUGGAUUACGGUCACACUUUGAAGGGUAAGUAGAUGAUGCUCAAUGACAUAACCUGCACUGAUCUUCACAGUCAUAUCAUCUGAUAGAAGUUUAUUGAAUUUCACUUAAAUUUUGUUGUAUGUUAUCCAUGAUGUAAGUGGAGAUAGGAAGUUAAACAAAAUUAAAAAUUGCAGCACAAAGGGGAUGUCCACCAAUGAUUUGACAUGAUAAGAUGUUAGUGAAGUAUGGCAAACUAUGACAUUAGCAAAACUUAUAUUUACAUAUAUUCAUAUAUAUGAAUUUUGGAAAUGUGCAUUGCACGUAUAUCGUACUUCUCUUCACUAUUCAAAAUACUUGUACCCACUAUGAUUUCAUUUUUUAUUAUUUACCUUGAAGGAGUAUUAUAUUAAUGUUAUUUGUUGUCCACCUUGAUCCUUCACUGCUAUUUUUCCUACUAAGCAACUUUGCAUGGAGUUAAGAUCACUUCGUAAGAUUCUGAUAUGUUUUUCAAAUUCGCUUCCUUUAUGCAUGAACCUAUCAUCAAGAUUUAGACCUCUUAUAUGGUGCAUGUAUGCUGCUGUAAGAAGAAAUGUAAUAUUGUCCUCAUCAAUUUCUUUCUUAGCAUGCACAAUGUGUUACAACAUCAAUUUCAUUGGUUUGGAGAAGGUGAUAAACAUGCAACCGUUCUUACUUGAUGAUAUGAAUGCUUCAUUGGAGCAAUAUUGGCCUUUGUUUGCACAUUAGUGUUCCAUUAUGUAGUAAAAGAUGUGGUCUGGUAGCCUUUCUUCAUUGUUACAGUUAUUGUCAAAUGGUGGAAUAUUGGUGCCUGGUAGCUCUGGUUCAUGUAAGCAUGACGAAACAUCGUAAAAUCAUAUUUCUUGUUGUAUCAUGAGUCAUAUGAAAAAGAAGGUUAGGCGAUUUAUGUUUUUAGUUUUUCUAUUGCUCGUGUGUUAAAGAUCUAGGCAUACAUUUCAGAUAUAAAUUUGGGCAUAAAUUGUCACAAAUAGAUGGGUGGCGUGGGUCAAGGUUCAGAAACCCAGGGCAUCAUGUUUCUUUCGAGCCAUAUGAGGAGAACUACAUCCAUGGUAGUGGCUACAAUAUAAUCAGAGAGCCAUGUACAUGUUGAUUGUUAUGAAAUCAUGGGAUGGAAUCU
Triticum dicoccoides is the source of this 1906-nucleotide long non-coding RNA. RefSeq lists it as uncharacterized. The record is from RefSeq and is a predicted model, not a curated record. The transcript is spliced from 5 exons. Lineage: Eukaryota; Viridiplantae; Streptophyta; Magnoliopsida; Poales; Poaceae.